CCUACGGGAGGCAGCAGUGAGGAAUAUUGGUCAAUGGGCGGGAGCCUGAACCAGCCAAGUCGCGUGAGGGAAGACGGUCCUAUGGAUUGUAAACCUCUUUAGGCGGGGAGCAAUGCCGGGCACGUGUGCCCGGAGGGAGAGUACCCGCAGAAUAAGCAUCGGCUAACUCCGUGCCAGCAGCCGCGGUAAUACGGAGGAUGCGAGCGUUAUCCGGAUUUAUUGGGUUUAAAGGGUGCGUAGGCGGAUUUUUAAGUCAGCGGUAAAAUGUCCGGGCUCAACCCGGGCCGGCCGUUGAAACUGGGGAUCUUGAGUGGGCGAGAAGUAUGCGGAAUGCGUGGUGUAGCGGUGAAAUGCUUAGAGAUCAUACAGAACACCGAUUGCGAAGGCAGCUUACCAAGCUACUUCUGACGUUGAGGCACGAAAGCGUGGGGAGCAAACAGGAUUAGAUACCCGGGUAGUC
This 460-nucleotide ribosomal RNA is filed under the name uncultured bacterium. RNAcentral's name for it is "partial 16S ribosomal RNA". It matches the Rfam family "Bacterial small subunit ribosomal RNA", at positions 338 to 795 of the family's 1533-position model. The record is from RNAcentral.